RNAcentral lists this ribosomal RNA (301 nucleotides) under uncultured bacterium. RNAcentral's name for it is "partial 16S ribosomal RNA". It matches the Rfam family "Bacterial small subunit ribosomal RNA", at positions 509 to 807 of the family's 1533-position model. The record is from RNAcentral.
CAGUAGCCGCGGGAAUACGUAGGGUCCGAGCGUUGUCCGGAAUUAUUGGGCGUAAAGAGCUCGUAGGCGGUCUGUCGCGUCUGCCGUGAAAUCCUCAGGCUCAACCUGAGGCGUGCGGUGGGUACGGGCAGGCUAGAGUGCGGUAGGGGAGAAUGGAACUCCUGGUGUAGCGGUGGAAUGCGCAGAUAUCAGGAAGAACACCGAUGGCGAAGGCAGUUCUCUGGGCCGUAACUGACGCUGAGGAGCGAAAGCGUGGGGAGCGAACAGGAUUAGAUACCCCAGUAGUCCCUGUCUCUUAUAC